RNAcentral lists this ribosomal RNA (622 nucleotides) under Zearaja chilensis. RNAcentral describes it as "Dipturus chilensis partial 16S ribosomal RNA". It matches the Rfam family "Bacterial large subunit ribosomal RNA", at positions 1796 to 2618 of the family's 2925-position model. The record is from RNAcentral. Lineage: Eukaryota; Metazoa; Chordata; Chondrichthyes; Rajiformes; Rajidae.
CCGCCUGUUUACCAAAAACAUCGCCUCUUGCAAAUCUUGUAUAAGAGGUCCCGCCUGCCCUGUGACAUUGUUUAACGGCCGCGGUAUUAUGACCGUGCGAAGGUAGCGUAAUCACUUGUCUUUUAAUUGAAGACCUGUAUGAAAGGCAUCACGAGAGUUUACCUGUCUCUAUUUUCUAAUCAAUGAAAUUGAUUUCCCCGUGCAGAAGCGGGGAUAUAACCAUAAGACGAGAAGACCCUAUGGAGCUUUAAACACUUAAGUUACUAUCUUAUUUAUUAAUUAAUCUAAAGACUUAACCAUUCUAAUAGUAACCUAACUUAAUGUUUUCGGUUGGGGCGACCAAGGAGUAAAAGAAAACCUCCUUAUCGAUUGAGUAUUUUUACUUAAAAGUCAGAACGACAGUUCUGAUUAAUAGAAUAUCUAACGAAUAAUGACCCAGGGCUAUCCCCUGAUCAAUGAACCAAGUUACCCUAGGGAUAACAGCGCAAUCCUUUCUAAGAGUCCAUAUCGCCGAAAGGGUUUACGACCUCGAUGUUGGAUCAGGACAUCCUAAUGGUGCAACCGCUAUUAAGGGUUCGUUUGUUCAACGAUUAAUAGUCCUACGUGAUCUGAGUUCAGACCG